This 433-nucleotide ribosomal RNA is filed under the name uncultured bacterium. RNAcentral describes it as "partial 16S ribosomal RNA". It matches the Rfam family "Bacterial small subunit ribosomal RNA", at positions 29 to 507 of the family's 1533-position model. The record is from RNAcentral.
AAUGAACGCUGGCGGCAGGCCUAACACAUGCAAGUCGAGCGAGCAUUUCGGUGCUAGCGGCGGACGGGUGAGUAACGCGUGGGAACGUGCCCUUUUCUGCGGAAUAGUCCUGGGAAACUGGGGGUAAUACCGCAUACGCCCUUUUGGGGAAAGAUUUAUCGGAGAAGGAUCGGCCCGCGUUGGAUUAGGUAGUUGGUGGGGUAAUGGCCCACCAAGCCGACGAUCCAUAGCUGGUUUGAGAGGAUGAUCAGCCACACUGGGACUGAGACACGGCCCAGACUCCUACGGGAGGCAGCAGUGGGGAAUCUUAGACAAUGGGGGCAACCCUGAUCUAGCCAUGCCGCGUGAGUGAUGAAGGCCUUAGGGUUGUAAAGCUCUUUCAGCUGGGAAGAUAAUAACGGUACCAGCAGAAGAAGCCCCGGCUAACUCCGUG